RNAcentral lists this ribosomal RNA (570 nucleotides) under uncultured bacterium. RNAcentral's name for it is "bacterial SSU rRNA". It matches the Rfam family "Bacterial small subunit ribosomal RNA", at positions 67 to 639 of the family's 1533-position model. The record is from RNAcentral.
CGGAUAUUUAAUUGAGUACUUGUACGAGAUAAUAUCUUAGCGGCGGACGGGUGAGUAACACGUGAGCAACCUACCUUUAGCAGGGGAAUAACACUGGGAAACCAGUGCUAAUACCGCAUAACAUUAUCAUGGGGCAUCCUGUGGUAAUCAAAGGAGAAAUCCGGCAAAAGAUGGGCUCGCGUCCGAUUAGAUAGUUGGAGAGGUAACGGCUCCCCAAGUCAACGAUCGGUAGCCGGACUGAGAGGUUGAACGGCCACAUUGGGACUGAGACACGGCCCAGACUCCUACGGGAGGCAGCAGUGGGGAAUAUUGGGCAAUGGGGGCAACCCUGACCCAGCAACGCCGCGUGAAGGAAGAAGGUCUUCGGAUUGUAAACUUCUUUGAUCAGGGACGAAAAAAAUGACGGUACCUGAAGAACAAGCCACGGCUAACUACGUGCCAGCAGCCGCGGUAAUACGUAGGUGGCAAGCGUUAUCCGGAUUUACUGGGUGUAAAGGGCGUGUAGGCGGGUCUGCAAGUCAGAUGUGAAAUUCCCGGGCUUAACUCGGGAGGGUCAUCUGAAACUGCGGA